RNAcentral lists this long non-coding RNA (320 nucleotides) under Manihot esculenta (cassava). RNAcentral's name for it is "long non-coding RNA (MESC_LNC002085)". Lineage: Eukaryota; Viridiplantae; Streptophyta; Magnoliopsida; Malpighiales; Euphorbiaceae. The record is from RNAcentral.
GAGAUAAAUAUAUAGUAUUUGGUUUGGGUGUUAUAGGUGAUGGUGCUUGUGGUAUUUCUAUAUGUUCUAUAUUUGUAAUUUCUUCAUGAUUUCUAUCUAUUUUUUCUUCCAUUCUAUCUAAUUGUUGUCCUAUAAUAUGUAAUGAUACAUUGGUCCAAUUAUUUUGUAAAGUGAUAUCCCUUAUGUGAUUUUUUGCUAUAUUUGUUGUAUCUACUAUUGAUUGCAUUCCAUGAGCUAUUUGGUUCUUUUUAAAGAAUAUCCUAUCCAUUGGUGGUCUUUCACACUCAUGACAUAGGUCACUCGGUUCUCCUGCAUUAUUC